AUACGUAUGUCGCAAGCGUUAUCCGGAAUUAUUGGGCGUAAAGCGAGUCUAGGCGGCUUGUUAAGUCAGAUGUGAAAAUGCGGGGCUCAACUCCGUAUUGCGUUUGAAACUGGCAGGCUAGAGUACUGGAGAGGUGGGCGGAACUACAAGUGUAGAGGUGAAAUUCGCAGAUAUUUGUAGGAAUGCCGAUAGUGAAGACAGCUCACUGGACAGAUUCUGACGCUAAAGCUCGAAAGCGUGGGGAGCGAACAGGAUUAGAUACCCCGGUAGUCC
This 273-nucleotide ribosomal RNA is filed under the name uncultured bacterium. RNAcentral's name for it is "partial 16S ribosomal RNA". It matches the Rfam family "Bacterial small subunit ribosomal RNA", at positions 523 to 796 of the family's 1533-position model. The record is from RNAcentral.